RNAcentral lists this ribosomal RNA (373 nucleotides) under uncultured organism. RNAcentral describes it as "bacterial SSU rRNA". It matches the Rfam family "Bacterial small subunit ribosomal RNA", at positions 526 to 896 of the family's 1533-position model. The record is from RNAcentral.
CGUGGGGGACGAGCGUUGUCCGGAUUCAUUGGGCGUAAAGCGCGCGUAGGCGGCUCGGAAAGUCGGGCGUGAAAUGCCGGGGCUCAACCCCGGGACUGCGUCCGAUACUUCCGAGCUGGAGGUAGGUAGGGGAGAUCGGAAUUCCUGGUGUAGCGGUGAAAUGCGCAGAUAUCAGGAGGAACACCGGUGGCGAAGGCGGAUCUCUGGGCCUUACCUGACGCUGAGGCGCGAAAGCUAGGGGAGCAAACAGGAUUAGAUACCCUGGUAGUCCUAGCCGUAAACGUUGGGUGCUAGGUGUGGGCGGACAUCGACCCCGUCCGUGCCGAAGCUAACGCAUUAAGCACCCCGCCUGGGGAGUACGGCCGCAAGGCUA